RNAcentral lists this ribosomal RNA (293 nucleotides) under uncultured microorganism. Its description in RNAcentral is "partial 16S ribosomal RNA". It matches the Rfam family "Bacterial small subunit ribosomal RNA", at positions 505 to 796 of the family's 1533-position model. The record is from RNAcentral.
GUGUCCAGCAGCCGCGGUAAUACGUAGGGCGCAAGCGUUGUCCGGAAUUAUUGGGCGUAAAGAGCUCGUAGGCGGUUUGUCGCGUCUGCUGUGAAAGCCCGGGGCUUAACCCCGGGUGUGCAGUGGGUACGGGCAGACUUGAGUGCAGUAGGGGAGACUGGAACUCCUGGUGUAGCGGUGAAAUGCGCAGAUAUCAGGAAGAACACCGAUGGCGAAGGCAGGUCUCUGGGCUGUUACUGACGCUGAGGAGCGAAAGCAUGGGGAGCGAACAGGAUUAGAUACCCUGGUAGUCC